This 77-nucleotide transfer RNA is filed under the name Caudoviricetes sp. RNAcentral's name for it is "tRNA-OTHER". It matches the Rfam family "tRNA". Rfam says of the family: Transfer RNA (tRNA) molecules are approximately 80 nucleotides in length. Their secondary structure includes four short double-helical elements and three loops (D, anti-codon, and T loops). Further hydrogen bonds mediate the characteristic L-shaped molecular structure. tRNAs have two regions of fundamental functional importance: the anti-codon, which is responsible for specific mRNA codon recognition, and the 3' end, to which the tRNAs corresponding amino acid is attached (by aminoacyl-tRNA synthetases). tRNAs cope with the degeneracy of the genetic code in two manners: having more than one tRNA (with a specific anti-codon) for a particular amino acid; and 'wobble' base-pairing, i.e. permitting non-standard base-pairing at the 3rd anti-codon position. The record is from RNAcentral. Lineage: Duplodnaviria; Heunggongvirae; Uroviricota; Caudoviricetes.
GCGCCCAUAGCUUAAUUGUUAAAGCCGCAGUCUCUAAAACUGUCAUUUUGCAGGUUCGAAUCCUGCUGGGCGUGCCA